RNAcentral lists this ribosomal RNA (411 nucleotides) under uncultured bacterium. RNAcentral's name for it is "bacterial SSU rRNA". It matches the Rfam family "Bacterial small subunit ribosomal RNA", at positions 91 to 518 of the family's 1533-position model. The record is from RNAcentral.
UCUAGUGGCGGACGGGUGAGUAACGCGUGGGUAACCUGCCCUUAAGAGGGGAAUAACAUUGAGAAAUCAGUGCUAAUACACCAUAUGCUUACAAGAUCGCAUGAUCUAGUGAGGAAAAGAAUUUCGCUUAAGGAUGGACCCGCGUUUGAUUAGCCAGUUGGCAGGGUAACGGCCUACCAAAGCAACGAUCAAUAGCCGGCCUGAGAGGGUGAACGGCCACAUUGGAACUGAGACACGGUCCAAACUCCUACGGGAGGCAGCAGUGGGGAGUAUCGCACAAUGGGCGAAAGCCUGAUGCAGCAACGCCGCGUGAGUGAAGAAGUUAGUUUCGGUAUGUAAAGCUCUAUCGAUGGGGAAUAAAAUGAAGGUACCCAAGUAAGAAGCCCCGGCUAACUACGUGCCAGCCGCUGC